Molecule: regulatory RNA element, 82 nt
Organism: Rhizobium tibeticum
Lineage: Bacteria; Pseudomonadati; Pseudomonadota; Alphaproteobacteria; Hyphomicrobiales; Rhizobiaceae
Rfam family: chrB-a RNA
Source: Rfam
UUCAUGGGGUCGCGAUCACCCCACGAGGCGCCAGCCGAAGAGUCGCGUCCAACGAAGCCGCUAAAACGGAGGACGCGCGAUG